GACAUCCAAUUGACCAUCUUUUAAUCGAGAUUUUGCCUUCGGGUACAAUUGAGACAGGUGGUGCAUGGUUGUCGUCAGCUCGUGUCGUGAGAUGUUGGGUUAAGUCCCGUAACGAGCGCAGCCCUUGUCCUUAGUUACCAGCACGUUAUGGUGGGCACUCUAAGGAGACUGCCGGUGACAAACCGGAGGAAGGUGGGGAUGACGUCAAGUCAUCAUGGCCCUUACGGCCUGGGCUACACACGUGCUACAAUGGUCGGUACAAAGGGUUGCCAAGCCGCGAGGUGGAGCUAAUCCCAUAAAACCGAUCGUAGUCCGGAUCGCAGUCUGCAACUCGACUGCGUGAAGUCGGAAUCGUUAGUAAUCGUGAAUCAGAAUGUCACGGUGAAUACGUUCCCGGGCCUU
Molecule: ribosomal RNA, 402 nt
Filed under: uncultured Pseudomonas sp.
Lineage: Bacteria; Pseudomonadati; Pseudomonadota; Gammaproteobacteria; Pseudomonadales; Pseudomonadaceae
Description: bacterial SSU rRNA
Rfam family: Bacterial small subunit ribosomal RNA
Source: RNAcentral